CGGGGUGGAGCAGCCUGGUAGCUCGUCGGGCUCAUAACCCGAAGGUCGUCGGUUCAAAUCCGGCCUCAA
Molecule: transfer RNA, 69 nt
Filed under: Citrobacter sp. wls620
Lineage: Bacteria; Pseudomonadati; Pseudomonadota; Gammaproteobacteria; Enterobacterales; Enterobacteriaceae
Description: tRNA-Met
Rfam family: tRNA
About the family: Transfer RNA (tRNA) molecules are approximately 80 nucleotides in length. Their secondary structure includes four short double-helical elements and three loops (D, anti-codon, and T loops).
Source: RNAcentral